This is a long non-coding RNA of Cygnus olor (mute swan), 5386 nucleotides long. RefSeq lists it as uncharacterized. The transcript is spliced from 3 exons. Lineage: Eukaryota; Metazoa; Chordata; Aves; Anseriformes; Anatidae. The record is from RefSeq and is a predicted model, not a curated record.
CAGAGGUGUGCUCUUCAGAUCUAAUAGAAAUUUGGCCAUUUAACCAAGCUUCAAUUUAAGAACCUUGUUCUUGGCUAAUUUUUUCCCCUAUUUUAGGGAAGUUACUUAUACGUUAGAGGGCUUUCAGCAAAUGUUAAGGUUUGUUUAUACUAAGCGCACGAGCACAGCACACACUAAAUCACUUCAAAAAGAACAAUAGGACAAAUGCUAGCCGUAACAUUCUGACAUGUGAAAACCAGAGGUAGGAACAGAGACCACGUAAGAUGAAAAUACAUAGAAAGCUGAAAUUAUUUUGAUAUUUUACGAACUAUAACAUAAAUGAUAGUACGGAGAAGUGAAUGUCAUUUCAAAAUAAGGAGAGUUUGAUCUCAGCAUUACAAAUACAUUAAUCAAUUUAAUAAUGUUUUAAUCAUAUACAAGUUCACAGAAACUAUUAUCUUUUCUUGCUGACUUCUUCAUUAGGACACCCAAUUGAAAAUAUAAAGAAAUAAGAAAAACAAUCCAUUCACUUAGAUGGUGGAACGCAGUUCAACAGAGACAUUAUAAAGCUAUUAAUGAGAGGUUGGACAACCUGCCAAAGCACCAGCGCUCUUAGCUUUAACGAUUGGUAACAUAACAUGAAAAAACAGAGUACCUGAUGUUGUUUUCAAAGACAGAUUAAGGUAAAGACGACUCUAGGUUCAGCGCUGACUGACCAAGCAUAAUCCUGUUCCUGCCAAAUUUCAGCACUAAUAAAAAGAAGAAAAAGCCAUGCCUAGCAGAGCAGUUGUGUUUAUCAAAUGCUACACACAGCCUUUCCAGAGCCGGCUAAAGGAUGUACCCUGUGAUACUCCUGGACGUUAUAAAUCCUGAUGUGAAAGUAUGUUCUUUCAGUAAAGAACGAAAAGAAAGCAAGUGGUGAAAAAGUCAGGUCCAAAGCAGAAAGCUCACAUUUUCAACAAGACAAGAGAAAAACUCACCAAUGAUGAAAAAUGAUUAUGUGAAGCUCUCAAGCUACUUGAGCCUGAACUCAAUUUGAAGUCAUCUUAGGAAAAGAUCUACCACAGAUUUCUGAAAAGAAGGCUAUAUCAUUUUGAAUUCUUUUUGUGAAAAAAAUACACGGACUGUAUAUUUAUAAAACCAAACCUUUAAUUAAUUUAAUCACUUUUUUUAAUCACUUUUAAUUUAAUUUAAUCACUUUCAGAUAAAAGAAACCUGAUACAAUAUACCCUGAUUUCAUUAUUUACUUCCAUCCACUGAUUCCUGAUAUAUAUAUCUCAAGCUCUUCCAGUGAACAACGACAGCCUACAUGAAGGAGGGACACUAAAUCCUUCUUGCUUUGCUUGCAUCAGUGACUACUAUGGGUAUGCUGCCUUGAAGAAAUGGAACAAGAUUAGAGUCAGCAUCAUCGCUUAACGUUUCGCUGUGAUGGAAAACUCAGUAAAAGAUGACAAACGGUAUUUAUACUCUCACACAGGAACCUACUGAAUCACAUCAUAUCGCUGGACCUCUGGUAAGAUUAUAAACUGACUUUGAAAGGUAAGGAAGGCAAUGGAGCACAAAAUCUAAUAACUAAUUCAAAGCUUUGAGGACGAAUAUUACUUGACAGUAAUCCUUCCAUGAAAUCAUGAACCAGAGCACUGCCCCAGUCUGAUGGCCUAUCAAGCUUAGUGCCGAUUAAUUAAAUCAUUCAACUAAUCUGUCGUGUAAUGAAUUUCAGUUCAUUUUCCAGAACAAAAAAAAUUGCCACUAUUUACCUGGUGAGUUAAAGCGUUGCCAAUCCAUUGGCAACACACACAAAUCUGAUUUGUAAUUUUGUAGAGAGCCCUAGCUCUCUACACGUAUCGCAUGUAAGACUACGAGUUUAACGUUUAACUAUCUAUGCUAUUUGUAAGGACCAGACUUCUUAUUUUUGUUUGAAUACUAAAUGGUUGAAAAUAUUUCUGGGAACAGAGUAGACUAAAUCAUCCCUAAUUCUGAAUGAGGAUCAUACCAAGUAUGAAUCAACAUGCAAUUUUCUGUUAAUGUCCAUUUUCUUCGUCUGAAAAAAUAUAAAUUCCUGACCCUAACAUCCAGACAAAAAAUUUUCUAAAAACAGAAAGAAAAUAUCCUUUUUCAACCUAAGUAUUUUUUCUGUUUUCCUAUCUGAUUCUCUUACCUUCCAGUAUCCCCUGCCCAAACAUGUCUUUUGGGGUUGAUGAGGAGUACCACACUCGUGGGCUGAUGUGCCAAGUUUCACCUCUGGAUUUAAUUAGAUUUUCCUUUAAAGAAUUGGUACUGACUGUUUCCUGUUGCACUAGCUUUUGGUUUUCCUCACCAUUUGAUUGUUUACAAUAAAUGGACAGAAAUUUCAAUAACUAUGACGGAGUGAAAUGGAAGACUAGAGAGGUUACAACUUGGGAAAAGUUUCUUAUCCCCAGUGUUAUACUUGCUCUACUUCCCAAGCAAGUAAAGCCUGUGCUUGUUUGUUGGGCUUAACGGAGUGCAGAGAGGCUUUUUAGGGAGGGACGGUGUCAAUCAGAAGGCGGCACAACUUGAGGCACAUCAGGACUCUGGAACAACCACCAGGUUCUCCAUUCGGGUGACUUCUCCCUGCUGGUGUGAAAUGUGUUCCUUGGUAGUUCAGAGACCUUUGGAGGGGCUCUACGGGGUAGGCUGUGGUUCUCAUUUUCCCUGCUUCGUUUACACACUCCAAUGGCCUGCACAACAUGACCGCUUUGUGUGCAUAAAUCCCAUGGCAUUUGAAUACCACAUGGGUUGAGAGGAGUAGAUGAAAACGUUUUUGUCCGUUACAGUAAGACGGAAACAUUUCAAGGAAUCCUUGAGGGGAAUUGGGAUAUUGGGUCAUCAUAUGAUCACACUGGGACAUAGAAUUAACAUUAAAAAGGUAAUCAAGGGAAAGAAAGCAGCAGCAAUCAGACGUUUCACUCUGCUGUCAGAGAGCAUUGCCCCAGCAAAAUGGAAGGUCAGCGUAUGAGAACCUGGAAGCGCCACCAGUCCCGGCCCUCUGUUUCGUUGGCGAAGGCUCGCCCUACCCACUUUGGUGGCCCUGUUCACAGAGGCUCUGGGGCUGCAGCAGACGGGGGCUGGCACGGAGUGGCGGCACGGCUCCUUGCCCAGCCCUGCUCCGAGGGCUGGAGGCACAGGAGAGGCUGUGGUCCUGCCCGACCGCGAGGGAUGGCCUGCCGGGAACCCACUGGUCGAGGAGCGUGACGCCCUCGUACAUCUCUACAGGAACGAACACUUUGUGGAGGCAGAGUAAUUGAUAAACAAGUAAUUUUUCAUUUAUGCCUAAAUUACAAAUGCACUUGAUCUUUCAAUGGAGUGAUGCACAGAUAACCUAUAACACCCCAUGAAUAAUUAUGCUUGCUAACUUUCUCCUUCCUUUGAUUUAAAAAUUAUAACUAAAACUCAGCAGCAGCAACUAAGCUAAAUACAUUUGGCAACCAUUGUUGCAAACACACGGCUCAUCUGUGUUAUUUAUUUACUCGAGAUGACAAGCUAAGAGAAAUGGCAACAAAUAAUUUCUUUCACCUCAGCAGCUAAUAUAUACUAAUUAUAACCCAACUGUCUCAAAUACCAAGCAACCACAAGUCCCAAUUAUAUCAAGGAAGAUGAAGACUAUUAGCAGCAAUGAAAACCACGGUCAUAACAAAAUCGGUCCAUGAAUCAAAUCUUGGUGGUACAUAUAGAUAGAUAAUAAAGGAUAGGAAUGAGUUGGAAGACAUCAGCAAUAGUUUUAAGAGUCUUGUUGUUGAUUAAUUAUAGACCGUGAACCAUGACCCUCACUUCUGUCUUUGGCUACCACACCCCCUUGUCAGUAACUAAUCGAUCUUUCAAUAUAUCCUGUAAUAAAAACAUAUGCUCUUUUUUCCUCCUGAAGAAUGAAAUUCAGCAGAUACGCUUUGGCAUUUUAGAUACUGAACCAAAGCUCUAUACAAAAUACAAAAAGACUUUAUGUGAAUUUCAAGCAUCUGACAAUUUACAUUUAAUAUUGAAAUAACGUAAUGACAUGAUAUACUGAUAAGGACUACACUAACAGAAAACCACUCUCUGCAGCAUUUCUCUAUAGCAUUUCUUCAGUAACGUCCUGCUAGUAAUGAUAACACAAAUACUGAUUUAUUACUCACUUUUAUCUACCUGUCAGCAUCAAAUUUCAAGUCCAAAAAUGCAUACUCACAACGUGUUUUUCGAUAGUUAACUGGAAGUUUUCCCUCUGGAUCAAAGCAUGCAUUAUGGCUCCCGAUAGCAGGAACAAAAAAGACAGGUCACUUCAGGAGGCUUGUAAUGCCAUCUUAUUUCUAGUUAUAAAAUACUGUAUUUUAAAGGAAUGACAAAAGCCUAAUUUUUCCCCCUCUUGGUAUUUCUAGACCUCACCGCUAAUCAGCUGAAGGAGGUUCUUCUGUGUAACUGUUGUAAAGCACAAUAUUCAAGGAUCCACCAGCACAAACAGCUAAUCAAGACAAGCAGGGUUUCAAAUGACUGCCAUACAUACUAGAUGUCCUCCCAGUAAAGGCAGAUCCUAUUGACACAGCUCCUACGUGAAAGCCAACGUAAAGCAUUAGGAAAUAGAGAAAGCACUAACACUGUGUGGAACCGCUCCCAGUAACACUGCACAGGGAGUCCACUGGUGAAACGAGAUUUUUGAGACAAAUGUGGCAGAACAAACUAUGGAUUCACUAGUACAUUGGUAAGCCCAGACUGACAUGCAGGGCUACUGCUGGAUUGGUCACCAGUGGGAACACAAAAUCUGAACUGGUCAGCUCAGCUAUGGAUAGCAGAAUAAAAAGACACCAUGGUAUGAAGCAUGGGAUGGGAGAACUGCCUCCACAAACCUUGUAGACGGGCAGACAGCAAACCCUGGAUCCCCGACAAGUCAAGGCCCUUCUUUUAAACUGUAUUUUGAACCACUUACUGCAUAUCAGCAUGUUUUUCUUUAGCCAGUGCCACAAAUUUCCCCUUCAGGAAUCCACAGUGUUUAGAAGGUGACUGGUAGAUUUACAUUGAGAUUGAAGCACCCAUGUUUCCAUCAAACCUUUUAGCAGUCAUUAGAGAUUUACUAUUGGGAUUUUUUUCCCCCUCUACAACCUGGUUGAAUAAUCAUUAACUAUGGCAUAUCUGCUUUUGUGGAAUAACUGAAUAAUGCAUUGGUAAUGCAUUUGCAAUGUACCUCUUGGAAAUAAGUGUAAUAAAACUUAGUGUCUUCCGAGAUGUAUUUUAAACAUCACAGAUUCAUCCAGUAUAAGAAGCCACCUGGUUCUUUAUUGCCAGUAACGAGAACGCUCUGUCCCCUAGUUCAGCACUUCAGGAGAGAUAAAUAUUCUGUAACGAACAUCAAUUUUAAUAUGAUACUUGGCAUGAAAUCUCUAAAGGAAAACCAUUCUAAUCAUGGUUAUCAAAUUUUCAC